Molecule: ribosomal RNA, 831 nt
Filed under: Ocellularia erodens
Lineage: Eukaryota; Fungi; Ascomycota; Lecanoromycetes; Ostropales; Graphidaceae
Description: partial large subunit ribosomal RNA
Rfam family: Eukaryotic large subunit ribosomal RNA
Source: RNAcentral
UUUGUAGAAGGUGCUUCGGGUGCGGCCCCGGUCCAAGUCCCUUGGAACAGGGCGGUUGCAGAGGGUGAGAGUCCCGUACGCGGCCGAUGGCCAAGCCCAUGUGAAGCCCUUUCGACGAGUCGAGUUGUUUGGGAAUGCAGCUCUAAAUGGGUGGUAAAUUUCAUCUAAAGCUAAAUAUCUGCCGGAGACCGAUAGCGCACAAGUAGAGUGAUCGAAAGAUGAAAAGCACUUUGAAAAGAGAGUCAAACAGUACGUGAAAUUGUUGAAAGGGAAGCGCUUGCAACCAGACUCGUUCGCGGGUGCUCAGCCGUCCCUCGGGGCGGUGCACUCUCCCGCGUUUCGGGCCAGCAUCGGUUUUGGCGGCCGGAUAAAGGCACUGGGAACGUAGCUCUCUUCGGGGAGUGUUAAGCCCAGGGUGCAAUGCGGCCAGCCGGGACCGAGGACCGCGCGUUCGCUAGGAUGCUGGCGUAAUGGUUGCCAGCGACCCGUCUUGAAACACGGACCAAGGAGUCGACCAAUCUGGCGAGUUUUAGGGCAUGAAACCCUGAAGCGCAAUGAAAGUGAACGUAGGUGGGAGCCCCCGGGUGCACCAUCGACCGAUCCUGAUGUCCUCGGAUGGAUUUGAGUAUGAGCCCGGUUGGUCGGACCCGAAAGUGAGUUUUUUCCAGGCUCUCCCCCGGGCACUCUUGCUAACGAAUGCUUCAGGAUGGUGAACUAUGCGUGAAUAGGGUGAAGCCAGAGGAAACUCUGGUGGAGGCUCGCAGCGGUUCUGACGUGCAAAUCGAUCGUCAAAUUUGCGCAUAGGGGCGAAAAGACUAAUCGAACUAUCUA